RNAcentral lists this ribosomal RNA (492 nucleotides) under uncultured bacterium. Its description in RNAcentral is "partial 16S ribosomal RNA". It matches the Rfam family "Bacterial small subunit ribosomal RNA", at positions 29 to 507 of the family's 1533-position model. The record is from RNAcentral.
AGUGAACGCUGGCGGUAGGCCUAACACAUGCAAGUCGAACGGCAGCACAGUAAGAGCUUGCUCUUACGGGUGGCGAGUGGCGGACGGGUGCGGAAUACAUCGGAAUCUACUUUUUCGUGGGGGAUAACUUAGGGAAACUUACGCUAAUACCGCAUACGACCUACGGGUGAAAGCAGGGGAUCUUCGUACCUUGCGCGAUUGAAUGAGCCGAUGUCGUAUUAGCUAGUUGGCGGGGUAAAGGCCCACCAAGGCGACGAUCCGUAGCUGGUCUGAGAGGAUGAUCAGCCACACUGGAACUGAGACACGGUCCAGACUCCGACGGGAGGCAGCAGUGGGGAAUAUUGGACAAUGGGCGCAAGCCUGAUCCAGCCAUACCGCGUGGGUGAAGAAGGCCUUCGGGUUGUAAAGCCAUUUUGUUGGGAAAGAAAAGCAGCAGGUUAAUACCCCGCUGUUCUGACGGUACCCAAAGAAUAAGCACCGGCUAACUUCGUG